UCUCUAAACAGAAACUAGACUUUGCAGAACAGAGAAAAACUAAAUUUGGCUGACUCUGUACAUCUCCAGGGACCAUCCUUCCUCAUGUUAGUGGGGUCAGUAACAGUUCUUACCUCCGAGGAACUGAAAUGACUUUGCAAACACUUCCUACUUCUGCCACCAAAAUAAAUGCCGUUGUCCUUGAUCAGAUUUUUACAGAGGAGGAACCCAAGGCU
RNAcentral lists this long non-coding RNA (215 nucleotides) under Homo sapiens (human). Its description in RNAcentral is "HSALNT0170639". The record is from RNAcentral. Lineage: Eukaryota; Metazoa; Chordata; Mammalia; Primates; Hominidae.